This is a long non-coding RNA of Mauremys reevesii (Reeves's turtle), 193 nucleotides long. RefSeq lists it as uncharacterized. The transcript is spliced from 3 exons. The record is from RefSeq and is a predicted model, not a curated record. NCBI's taxonomy places the organism in Eukaryota, Metazoa, Chordata, Testudines, Geoemydidae.
GGGGGAGUCUAUAAUGUGUUCCUUUCUACACAGUAACUAUGGGUCACUGCUCAGUGUUUUGAAAUUGUGAGACUCCGUCACAAUAUAGAAUAUUUUUCUCCAGUGACUUGCAUUAGGAAAAAAGAAGGCUGCAAAUUGAGAACCUGGCUGAAUUGUAACUUUCUUCAGAUGGCUACAAGGAAGAAAGAUGGAG